RNAcentral lists this ribosomal RNA (790 nucleotides) under Kurthia gibsonii. RNAcentral describes it as "bacterial SSU rRNA". It matches the Rfam family "Bacterial small subunit ribosomal RNA", at positions 49 to 825 of the family's 1533-position model. The record is from RNAcentral. Lineage: Bacteria; Bacillati; Bacillota; Bacilli; Caryophanales; Caryophanaceae.
CUAUACAUGCAGUCGAGCGAAUGACGAGAAGCUUGCUUCUCUGAUUUAGCGGCGGACGGGUGAGUAACACGUGGGCAACCUGCCCUACAGAUCGGGAUAACUCAGGGAAACCUGGGCUAAUACCGGAUAAUCCUUCGAAUCACAUGUUUUGAAGUUGAAAGGCGCUUCGGCGUCACUGUAGGAUGGGCCCGCGGUGCAUUAGCUAGUUGGUGGGGUAACGGCCUACCAAGGCAACGAUGCAUAGCCGACCUGAGAGGGUGAUCGGCCACAUUGGGACUGAGACACGGCCCAAACUCCUACGGGAGGCAGCAGUAGGGAAUCUUCCACAAUGGACGAAAGUCUGAUGGAGCAACGCCGCGUGAGUGAUGAAGGUUUUCGGAUCGUAAAACUCUGUUGUAAGGGAAGAAUAAGUACGUUAGGAAAUGAACGUACCUUGACGGUACCUUAUUAGAAAGCCACGGCUAACUACGUGCCAGCAGCCGCGGUAAUACGUAGGUGGCAAGCGUUGUCCGGAUUUAUUGGGCGUAAAGCGCGCGCAGGUGGUUUCUUAAGUCUGAUGUGAAAGCCCACGGCUCAACCGUGGAGGGUCAUUGGAAACUGGGGAACUUGAGUGCAGAAGAGGAUAGUGGAAUUCCAAGUGUAGCGGUGAAAUGCGUAGAGAUUUGGAGGAACACCAGUGGCGAAGGCGACUGUCUGGUCUGUAACUGACACUGAGGCGCGAAAGCGUGGGGAGCAAACAGGAUUAGAUACCCUGGUAGUCCACGCCGUAAACGAUGAGUGCUAAGUGUUA